UGGGUAUCCCUGUGGUUGGUUCCCUCUGAAGUUCAUCUGGAGAGCGAGGCAUUGAACAUCUGAAAGAAAGGCCUCUCAGACAAAAGUUUCUUCAUGGCAGUAGGAUCACAAGAAUUGCUGAAAGUAUUUGCACGUGGAAAGGAUCUCAGCAUCAGACCUUCCAUCUGUCAGCAGCUUGAGGCACAGAACUGUCAUAUUUGUGUGGCUAGAAGGAGGCAGAUUCACCCAGCUGCUGGAAGUGAAACUCGGCGAAACAUCGGUCCUCUUUGUGUUUGGGCUUCCGCUUGGCAAGACACAUUAGUGACUGAAACGAAGAGCUGCUUUGCCACCAACAGAAGAGACAAGGCUGCUGCUAAAAGCAAAAGGCCUGGUGCUGGAGACUCCAAGGUCAAUAGAGAAGGAGGUGGAAGAAGUGCCCAGACACUGGAAGGAAGAUUCCCCUGUGCCCUGUGUUGCAGCCCAUGGUGAGGCAGCUGCGCCUCUGCAGCCUGUGGAGGACCAUGAGGAGCAGAGAUCCACUCGCAGCCUGUGGAGGAGCCCACACCAGAGCAGGUGGAUGCCUGAAGGAGGCUGUGACUCCAUGGGAAGCCCACAUUGGAGCAAGUUCCUGGUAGGACCUGGAAGCCCGUGGGGAGAAAGGAACUCAUGUGAGGGCAAGUUUUCUGUCAGGGCGAUCCUGUGAGGGACCCAGCCUGGAGCAGUCUGUUCCUGAAGGACUGUUCUUCCUGUGGAUAACCCAAGUUGGGGCAGGGUGUGAAGAGCUGCCUCUAUGGGACGGACCCAUGCUGGAAAAGUUUGUGGAGGACUUGCAAAAUUAUCUCACUCACAGUGUUGAUGUCACCAUACUAGCUGCACACAUGCUUCUCUUUUCC
This is a long non-coding RNA of Colius striatus (speckled mousebird), 872 nucleotides long. RefSeq lists it as uncharacterized. NCBI's taxonomy places the organism in Eukaryota, Metazoa, Chordata, Aves, Coliiformes, Coliidae. The record is from RefSeq and is a predicted model, not a curated record. The transcript is spliced from 4 exons.